RNAcentral lists this ribosomal RNA (253 nucleotides) under uncultured bacterium. Its description in RNAcentral is "partial 16S ribosomal RNA". It matches the Rfam family "Bacterial small subunit ribosomal RNA", at positions 524 to 776 of the family's 1533-position model. The record is from RNAcentral.
UACGUAGGGCGCAAGCGUUGUCCGGAAUUAUUGGGCGUAAAGAGCUCGUAGGCGGCUUGUCACGUCGGGUGUGAAAGCCCGGGGCUUAACCCCGGGUCUGCAUUCGAUACGGGCUAGCUAGAGUGUGGUAGGGGAGAUCGGAAUUCCUGGUGUAGCGGUGAAAUGCGUAGAUAUCGGGAAGAACACCCGUGGCGAAGGCGGCUCUCUGGGACGGUACUGACGCUGAGACGCGAAAGCGUGGGGAGCGAACAGG